AAGGCACAAAGGAUGCUUGCUACUUCAGGCUUGCCAGGUCCAAUUUGCAAAUAUCAACCAUGUAAUGGAGCAGCAUGACAUUCUGUGGAAUAUCAAGACAGUCAAGACCCUGCUGCAUUAUGAGGGAGAACAGGAACAUUGACAGAGACUUGAGCUGACACCUUGUGUGGAAUUAAAGAAUGCAGAGAAUCAGUAUUAACUCUCGGGAUCCUGGACCUAGUGUAAAUGGAGCUCUCUACGAACUCUUCAGGAGUCCCUCAACUUACCCAUCAAAAUGUUUUACAGAUUGCAUCAUCUUGAGAUGAGCAGCUGCUUCAUCUUUGGUAAGAAGAAUGCAGUUCCAGGGGGACCACUCCAGGGAUUUAUUCCAUCUGACCAUGACCAGAUCACUGAGAUUGUCGCAAGCACUGAGGACUGACUGGGACGCCCAGAUGUUCUCUGUCAGGAGAAAUCUGACUAAUACAACAUGGAAUAUUGAGCCAGCACUUCUUGGUGACUUACAUUAAAGCCCUAGUACAUCUAAGAUUCUCUACAAGGAAAUAUACAUCUGUCAUGUCAAUAAUUCCUGAAUAAAAGUAGCAAAUAAGAAUUUAAGCUGAAAUAAACAUCAAAUUUAUUAACAAAAUAUUCAUUCUAUUGGACAAAAUAUGUAAUCAUUUUAAUUUGUGCUUUUCAAACUGUGGGUUGCUACCUCUUGGGUGAUACCAAAGUUUUCCAAAUGGAAAUCAGAAUAAGUAGACUGAGAUUGAAUAGAAAAUAUCAGAGUACAUCCAUAGGGGUAAAGAUAAACACUAUUUUGGAAACUUUUAUUUCUGAGGCAGAACAGCAUGUGUUUACAUGUACGGAUGCUGGGAAUCAGACUGCCUAGUUUUCAAUCCUGGUGCUGGUACUUAGUAGCGUAAACUUGGACAAGUUAGUUAACCACUCAGUGCUUCCCUUUCCUCACCUGCAGAAUGGAAAUAAUGCCUAUUUUGAUAGGAUUUUUGUG
RNAcentral lists this long non-coding RNA (988 nucleotides) under Homo sapiens (human). RNAcentral's name for it is "HSALNT0128343". The record is from RNAcentral. Lineage: Eukaryota; Metazoa; Chordata; Mammalia; Primates; Hominidae.